UUCCUUUUCAGUCUUGAGUGUUUCAACAUCUCUUCUCUCGAGUGAGAUCAACUCUUCUGCCAAAGACCUCAGCAGGUCAUCUGUGAGAGGUCCAUCGCCAACCUCAUCUAGAAAGCUGUGGUACACAGUUCAAAUAGAUUUCUGCAAGACACUGCCAAGAUUCAUUGUAUAUAAUGAUGAGUAAGAAGUGUGAGAGCACCUGACCUUCAUCCCGUCUGAAUCUGGUGUGCAACAGCCACGUGUAGGAGAGCAGCUGGGGAGUACAGAAGGACUCAUUGGCCAAUAAGAUGCCUCCAGACACAAUCCAUUAUAUGGAAGAGUUCUUCCUUCUUGGUGCUCUUGAUCUGAGAGGCGUACCACAGAGCAGUAUGACCUCUUCCAUCAAGGAUCUUCUUAUCACUGGAAAUCAGAGCAGGUUGAUACUCCCACGGUGUCUCAAGUCCUUCAAACAGAUCCACAUCCCUUACAGCCAGCAUCAGUGGGGGGGCCAAUACUGAUCCAUCAGAGAACUCCCUAUGGAGUCUAGCCUGCUUUGUGCGAACCUAAGGUUGAUAUCGCAUUACUAACAGUCAAACUGCAAGUGGAAGUUGAAGUCUGAGCUGCUCACCAUCAGGUCCUGUAGACAGCAGAGGUCUCCCCUCCAGGCUGCUAGUGAGAGCUGCUUCUGAUGGGUAAGACCCGUUCUGCAGGCAGUGAUGAGAGGAGUGGAGCCCUGUGAAUCAUGAGGCAGGUCAAGCUCUUCCCAGGCGUAGACUCCCUGCUCCAGUCCCAGAGCCACAGCCUCAAGCUCGUCCUUCAACAGCUGCUCGACAAAUCUGCUUCUUUCAUGUUUACUCAUGCUCCAGUGUUCUGGCAGAUGCACAAACAGAAAAUGAGCUGCAGUUCUGAUGCACUAACUGUAAUGAAUGUCUUCAAUAUUCACAGCAUGCACAAGAACUGCUUUGUUGCCCCCUUGUGGUUGUGUUUAUGAUGAAGACAAUGCACGGUCUCAGUACUGUUUAAGUGCAAGGACAUUUUAUGUAUUUUUAAAGAUAUUUUUAUAUCUUUAAUAAAUUGUAAAUGUUUGCUUUUGAA
Long non-coding RNA from Cyprinus carpio (common carp), 1074 nucleotides. RefSeq lists it as uncharacterized. The record is from RefSeq and is a predicted model, not a curated record. Lineage: Eukaryota; Metazoa; Chordata; Actinopteri; Cypriniformes; Cyprinidae.